GUGCAAUUGCGGCGUGCUAUACAUGCAAGUCGAGCGGACGGAUGGGAGCUUGCUCCCUGAAGUCAGCGGCGGACGGGUGAGUAACACGUGGGCAACCUGCCUGUAAGACUGGGAUAACUCCGGGAAACCGGGGCUAAUACCGGAUAACUCUUUUCCUCACAUGAGGAAAAGCUGAAAGAUGGUUUCGGCUAUCACUUACAGAUGGGCCCGCGGCGCAUUAGCUAGUUGGUGAGGUAACGGCUCACCAAGGCCACGAUGCGUAGCCGACCUGAGAGGGUGAUCGGCCACACUGGGACUGAGACACGGCCCAGACUCCUACGGGAGGCAGCAGUAGGGAAUCUUCCGCAAUGGACGAAAGUCUGACGGAGCAACGCCGCGUGAGUGAUGAAGGUUUUCGGAUCGUAAAACUCUGUUGUCAGGGAAGAACAAGUACCGGAGUAACUGCCGGUACCUUGACGGUACCUGACCAGAAAGCCACGGCUAACUACGUGCCAGCAGCCGCGGUAAU
This 508-nucleotide ribosomal RNA is filed under the name Cytobacillus firmus. Its description in RNAcentral is "bacterial SSU rRNA". It matches the Rfam family "Bacterial small subunit ribosomal RNA", at positions 37 to 524 of the family's 1533-position model. The record is from RNAcentral. Lineage: Bacteria; Bacillati; Bacillota; Bacilli; Caryophanales; Bacillaceae.